Ostrea edulis (European flat oyster) is the source of this 2214-nucleotide long non-coding RNA. RefSeq lists it as uncharacterized. Lineage: Eukaryota; Metazoa; Mollusca; Bivalvia; Ostreida; Ostreidae. The transcript has 3 exons. The record is from RefSeq and is a predicted model, not a curated record.
UUUUCGCAAGGAAAUAAUGUGAACGUUGAUUCACGUGAAUUUCACGUGAAAAGAUUCACACGAAUUUCACGUGAAAUUUCUUCAUGUGAAAUUCACACGAACAAUUUCACACGAAUUUCACGUGAAAAGCUAUUCACGUUAAAAAUUUCACAAGAAAAGCGAUUAAAGUGAAAUAUUCACACUUCUUAAUAUAUUCAAGCGAAAAAAUAAAUGAAAUUAAGGUAAAAUAUAAAACGAUAUGGAGAUUAGGCAAUUCAAAAGUUAGAGUACAUUUAUAAAAUGUAGGCAAACGACCAAUAAAGUAGAUCCUGCUCACGCCUCCCUCUCCUCGUUUAUUUGCGAAAUUAUUAACUUGCAUUGUAGUUCUGUACGCAGUAUGAUUACAUGUACUUUCCACACCUGAUUUCUCUCAUUUCCCAUUAUUUUUUCUCUUAAGAAUUAAAAUAUAAAUUAAAUCUCCCAUCAUCAUAGAUAUUAAUGAAAGCAUAUUUUCCAACUACUUGAAGAAUCACUAUAUUGAUAGAGUUAGAAUAUGCAACUUCAAAACCACGAAAUUUUCUAAACAUGGAAAAUUACUAUUUUACAGUAAAAUCAGAAAGAACUAUGAAUUAAAACUAUUAAGACCAUUUGAAAUUUCCAUUUGUGAGAGUAGUACGUUUUAAAUAGCUAAGAAUAUUUGCCCACUCUUUAGAUAUUAAAACUGGUUGAUAUUCAAAACCAUGCAUUCCAAAAGAUUGUUGUUUUUGUCAGUUUUGUAAAACUACUGAAGAUGAGUUAACUUUUUUAUCUCGCUGCUUUAUGAUGUUGGUAACAGGCUACUUGUCGGAGUGCACUUGGGCUGUUUACAUACAUGUGAUUUGAGGGUAGUAUUGUGCAGGUGGGAAAAAAUGCCAUGAUAUUGUUUUCCGCUGUCGGUAGUUUGGCAUCAAUUUUAAUUACCCCCCCUCCUUAUUAGAUACAUCGAGAAUAAUUACCGGUGUGAUACCUUGGAAGCUGGUGUAUGCAUAAAGUUAGACUUAUUGGAAAUUGCUGAUACACGCAUGUAGAAAUGAAAAUUUUCUAUCAGCCGUAUUCACCAUCCCGAAUUUGUAGAUCGUCAAUCAAAAGGAAAACACAGAUUUCUAGCACUCGGAAGAAAGCGAAAAACAUAAACAAUCCUUAACAAUACUGUCCAUGUAUAUUUAGAUAACUUUUUAAAAAAUAUAUAAAGCUUUACACUGUAACAGUCAGAUUCCGGUAAUAGUUACAAGACUGUGACGUCACACUCGAGUAAGCCGUCUGACGUAUGCAAGACAGCGAAUGUGAAAGUACAUAGUUUCUAAACUCUACAGACUGAUGAGAAUUACUUUAGACGGGGUACGUCAACGAAUAGGCACGACAGCGAAAAUACGGAAGUCACUUCGGGGACGUGUCGCAGAAUCGCAUAACUCUACACGAGAUUAAAAGAAAGACAAAAAAGACAAUGAAGACAACCAUUUAAAAACAAAUUCAAUCAAUUAAAUUACCAGCAGCUCGAAAGCAGAUUUGUACUCCUUUUUGUGUUCAUCUGAACCCGAGAUUCAGGGUAUCAAAAUAUCCAUGUAUGAUUUAACGUUAUAAAGUUUAUGUGAAAUUCACGUGAAUUUUAUGUGAAAUUCAUGUUAAAGAUUUCACGUGAAUUUUAUGUGAAUUUCACGUGAUUUUUUUUCGUGUGAAUUCACAUUUGAUGCUCUUUUAACGUGAAUUUCACAUAGAAAUUUUCACGUGAAAUUCAUGUGAAUUUCACGUGAAAUUCACGUGAGGCACAUUUGCCUGUGUAUAUCAGUAGUAUUUAAACAUGCAACCAUAACCAUAGCAUAUACCAAUUUCCUUUCUAUCUCUAAAGUCUAACCUGAAGUACAACAACCAGUUUGGGCAAAUAACCGUGAUUUAUUAGCAUAUGUAGGUAAUUAAUAAUCACAUAAGGAGAAAUCAUGGUUAACCUUCUAAUCUCCUUCUACAAGAACUACUAUAAAAUGCAAGGAAAAAAAUGUAAUAAGAGCAUCUCCCUAUGUUUUGGAACAUUACAAAUCGUGUUGUCUUGCUUAAAAACUGUAUGGCCUUUGCCCUUGAAGAAUUAUUUGAAAGUAAUGAUAUCCUAGAAUUUCAAAUGCCAAAGUAGGAAUUGCUUUACGCAUUGUUUGGCUAAUUAAACUGUUACGACUUGAAUUAGAUAAUUAAGAUGAUUGGUUGAGA